GGAGGAAAAGCUACCUAUGCCUUUUUUUCCCGUCCAAGUCUGCUUCCGGACAGGUCACGGGCUCUUCUCUAGCAUCCCACCCAUGUCUCUCUGCUGCUCAGCACCAUCUCUGCAUUUUCUUCCAUAGUAGGGCAGAUCUGGCUUGUUCUUGUUGUGUUCCUCGCUAUUUCUCCCAUGGAGGAUUUACGUCCUACUCGGUCCUUCUUACAGUUGAUGGCUAAUAUGCAGCCCCGUGGAUCCUGGUCUGGGAAGCUUGGAAGGCGCAUGUUAUUUCCAAGGAGUAGGGAAAUGCCCAUACCCUCCGGGACAGAGCUCAACACUUUCUCCUGAUGAAUUUUUACCAGCAUCUCCUAUUGAUCUGGACCCCGUCCCAAGUUCUAUGGAUGUUCUGCCGGAUAGCACAAAAUACUGCUGACCAAGAUGCAUUGGGAGAUGAGGUGUACAUGUGUGACCAGUAUGUAGCAAACAUGGAUUCUGAAACGGCGGAAAACACAUCUGAUUCCGUGUGGGCAGACAUCAGCGGGUACUCAUCUUGUUCUGGGCCUAGCUAAAGGUAAUAAAUCAGCACUGACAUCUUUCGUUUAACCUGUACUCCAUGUUCUUAACUUUGGUUACUGUAGUGCUAUUUGCCUUGUUAGCCACGAUAGUAGUACCAUGAAUGGAUUCACUUAUUUGUAUGUUUUUUUUGGGUAUAAAACUAGUCUUUUUGCGCAAAGAUGUUUUGGUUACUUGUAUGUGCUCUUAACUUUGGUAACUAUACUGCUAUUGAAUUCCUGAUGAUGUGCUUGUUGACGGUCAUUAUAGGCCAAUUUUGACCGCCAAUAUAUCUACAUUAAAGGAGAAUUAGCUAUGCUUAUAAUGCAUAUUUGUUUUAGAAUAAUAUAGUUCCACUUAUACUUGGAGAAUAAUGUUGCAUGAAUUGAGCAAAUAAAUAAUGAAGAAAUGAGGAGAACUCACUCCUAAGCAAGCAUAUGGAUAAGGAGGGCCCACAUGUUAGGUGUAACCGUCCAGAAACCACCUUAACUGUCACAAUCGACUAGAGGACCCACCUGUCUGUACCAUGCCCGAAGCUGGAGGCCUGCUGGGCUAGCCCAGGGGCCGAACCCUGGUGGCCCCCAAUCAGCCUGGCCCUCCAUGUGGACGUCCAGGAUGCACUCUCAAUGACGGUUGUGGGGUAGGAAGGUCAUUUCGCCUUUCCUACCAUCGUCAUGCUGACCCUAUAAAAGGAGGAGCCCAUUUCACUCUCAAAACACUCAGGCAAGCUCAAGAUUCCUCUUCAUACUUUAUUUUAGUAGUUUUAGUACUAAGUGGAGUAGUAUAGAAUAGUUCUCGCAGUCCUCGGAGCUUCCAGAAGAAUUUCGGUAUGGCUUUAGUAGCUUUCUUAUUUUCUUCUGUAAGACUCUCGGAAAUAAUAAAGAUACUCUUCUUCUUAUAUUCUCGGUACUUUACUUAGUCUGAGUGCUGCUCUUAUUUUAUAUUUGUGUAGUCACAAUUGUGUGGGUAGCCUACCAGAGAGGUGCAAUGGUGUGGGUUUAGUGUCCGAGUUAUCGGUUGCUCUAUAUCAUCUGCAGAGGAGUAGUAUUUAUUAAUGUAAGCAUGGUGCUUAGAUUACUAAAUAUCACUAUCUGGGCAUAUAUGCUGCGGGAUAGUAGAGGUGGGCUGCUGAUGGUGAUAGCUCAGUACGGGUAUUCUUCCACGUUAGUAUAUAUUCCUAAUACAAAUUCCUAGGGAGGGUACUCCUCCGUAUUUAGCCCCGGUUGGACAGCCAUGACAGGUUGUCAUAAGAAACUCAGCAACCAAGGGUGGUCUCUCGAAACACCAGGAGGGCACUGUUAGGGGGUAUUUGCCACAUAAUUGUAUACUAGCAAAUGUAGACUAGAGUUUGAGUGUAUAUUAGAAGUAUAGGAAAUGAGUUCUUCCUAUCUCUUCUUCCACUCAGUUAGAAUUAUUUAUUUGAGGAAAUCCAAAGGCUUCGCUUCGUGUCACUCCAUCCUUAUAUUAAAUUAACCUCUACUUAGAUUUUGAUUAAAGCAAGUAAUAUAUGUAUGUAUAUAUUAGCAUGGUUCUCUCUUUUACAAUCUUCCCUUGGGAUUAAAUAAAUAUGAUACCUUCGAAUACUUCCGGGUGAAAUGCUACAAUGGUAUAUCCAUGCGCUUGCGGAUUACUUCUGUAACCAUAAAUAUAUCAGGACUAUUUCUGUGCCAUUGCUAGAAAUGAAUAUUUCUAUUAAUGUUGUUAAGAAAUACCAACAGUGCCUGUAAUUGUUUUUGGGUUUCAAUUUUGUGUGAGAAUGAGACAGUAGACUACUGAUUAAGAGCGAUGUGCAUGGAUUAGAGGCGUUUCAACAGCACUUGGACAAGUUUCUCAGUUUGAUUCACUGGAUCCAUAUGCAUGUAUCAUUUGACUGAACUAAUUGUUGCUGAUGAUGUGAACUUGGACAAGUUUCUCAGUUCGAUGCACGUGCUAACGCUACGACAAUAUUUGAUAAUGCAAAAUUAAAAAAAAAUCAAAAUAUUUUAUAUAUCUUGAAAGUAUAAAAUGAGAUAAAUUUUAAAGUCAUGAAAAAAAGUUCAGUUUAAAUAACAAAUUUUAAAUCAUGCAGAAAAAAAAUCAGGUCCAGAGAUGGAUAGCACCAGUAGCUAUACCGUGUUACUCUAAAAUACAAAAUAAAAUAAUUUUAUCUCCUGGAUGUAAAUCUAUAUUUUUGUUUCAUAACACCACAUUUUUCACAAUUACAAAGAGGGUCGCCUCAAGCAAUCGAAACAUCAAUGGUCACUACAUGCAUCGCUAGAAAGAACAUCAUCUUGAUGUAAACUGCUGGACCUGAAUAGAUUGGCCUCUCUAACAGCACCAGGAUCAGCUCCAACAUCAUCUUAAGCUAGAAAUAACUUCGAUUUCUGAAAGCUCAGGAAGACAUUAGCAUGAGGCAUGUUUGCAUGGUUCCAACUCCUAAACUCCUGAGAAACCAAAUGCCUUAAAAAAUUUUCUCGUUUAGCCACAUCAAAAAUCUUUCAAGCAAAUUACAUCCAAAUAAAAAGAAGUAACAGAACCGGCCAUAGAAUUUAUGCAUUGCAUCAUUAUUAGUAAUUACAAAGUCAUCAGCACACUUCAAUAUUCAACAUGCCAGAGAAAACACAUCUUUAUUGGAUUCAUCCAAUAGCACUUUUUCAUGGAUAUGAUGAAGCUAUCGUUUCAUUGUCUGGAGCUCCAAAAUUGGUUGGUGCAUACAAAGGAGAUACUCCACUUAAUAUCAAGCAAUUGACAAAAUUAACAUAUUUUCAAAGUUAUGGCACCUCACAAAAUGGAAAAUUGACCUUCUGCUGCAGCCUACAUAACACAUAUCAGCAGCACAACAAUUGCAGUUCAAAGAGUCUACACUGAUGAAUAAAAAUUGAUUUGGUUGAUAGAAAGAACCACCCAAGUACUCAAUACAAAUAGAAAAUUGCAAUAAUUGUUCAGUAUUUACAGUGAAAUCUAAAUCUACAGGAAAUAACAGCCUCGAUCUGCCAUGGAGAAACUUUUCCAAUAUAUUUCCACUAAGUUAGGCACUCAGGCUAGCAAAAUGAAUACAAGAUUCCAACUAAUCAAUUUCUGAAAUAACAUGGUGUCUAGAAAUGCUAAUCCUAAUUUUAGUGCUGUUCUACUUACUCUGGAGAGAUCUUGGUCGAUGUCAACGAUUAUCAUGGCCAUGUUGGUGGAUGGGGACAAGGCUCUUUGAGGCGGUCUUCCUCCUCUCAUUGGCAAUGCAAACACAGUUCUGCACCCUCCAACUCCUACUCUGAGUGGGCCUCACACCGCCGGCAGAAUUCCAUUAGUAUAUAAUAUAAUUCAAUCUGCAUUCAACAAAGACCAAGAGUUAUUGAGCCCUCCCAAGUAUUUGCAAUAAAAAUGGAAGAUAACUGCAUGAAUAAUUGUCACUCUAAUAUCAAUUUACAAGUUCACAUUAUACCUCUUUGUCGACAAGGCCGAGGAACUCUUGAUGCUCCUUGCUAACGGACUGCAAUAUAAGGAAGUCAGAAAAAGAUAACAUCACCUGUUGUUUUCUCAACGCAAUGUUAGCGCUCCUUUCAUAAUAUAAGCAUUCUUCCUAGAGUAACAACAGUAUUCAUGCUCUUCUCUAAUUGAAUAUGCAAAGAACACUGAUUUUUCCUUAUCAAACAAAGGAUGCUACCAUAUAACAUUUAAAAUGAGUAGAAUCAUCAAUACAAAUUUAUCAAUUUAUGUGCCAAUUAUGAUCAUCAACAAAUAGGCGAUUAGCCUAAUGAAAUACUCUACAUACCAGCAAAGAUUGCCAUCUGCUAAAUCCUUACUGAAGCAUACUGAAAAGCCAAAUCUCCUCCUGGAUAAAAGGAAACUAUAGAUUUAGUCAUAUAUUUUUUCAGAUUAUCAAGCUAAAAGAGUGCCAUAAGAGAUGGCAAACUUCAAUUGUGAAGGAAUGCAGUGUGGAACAGUAAGCCCAUAAAAAAUUUCCAGUGUGUUCUGAUAACCAUUUAGAACAAGUAUUCCCUCUUUCACUACUAUUGUCAUUAUUAUCAUACGCUCCUCUCAAUGGCCACUUAUAAAUACUUUCAUUGUUUAAUUGUGUAGAAGGAACAGAACCAGAAGAACCAUUGCAGGUUAUUCCACUUCAUUUAAAACUCUAUGAGCGUGUUGCACAAAUUGAUUGACCCUCUUAGUCAAUAUUUCAUUUCAUUUGUUUAGCAUAAUAUUGUUUAGUAUAAUACACCAUUAUUAUAGGAUAAGGAGUCAGGGGAGCAUGUAGGAUCCAAAGUCAGCAUGCCCAAUAAUGGCGUACCAUCGAACUUGAUACGAUCUAUAAUUGGCCAGACUUACGACUACCUCCCUCAAGAUUAUGUAUUAACCAACCAGGAUGUUACUGCUCAAGACAUUAUUCUGGUAUCAUCUGAAAAUGAGACGCUGGUGAACAUGGGAGGUUUUUCUGUCAAAAAACAUCACCUAUCGUGCCUUCUCACUAAAGAUGAAUGGGUGAACGACGACGUCAUCAGUGCGUACAUACACUGAAUAAAGGAGGCGCAAUCAAAGACCGAUAAGAAAGUGUAUUAUGAAAACCCCUUUAUCAUUGCCAUGUUACAACGAGAUGCGGUCUACAUAAUAGAUGAACAUAUAGACAACUUUAUUACAAAUAUAGUGAAGAACUAUCUUUUUCAUGAACUGAUUUUUCUACCAAUAAAUAGAGGAAAUAUUCAUUGGUAUUUAGCUAUUCUCAACCCCCAAAAAAAAGUGAUACAUGUACUUGAUUCUCUCUGUGAGGACUUCGAUCGUGUUGACCUCCAUAUAGCGAUACAAGGAGUACAAAAACAUCUUGAUAUCAUUACACGGCGGCAGGACUUACCUAGCCAUGAAUGGAUAGAUCUAAAUGUCGUGACAUGGCUGAUCAUAGAACAAUUACAAGUCAAAAUUCAACUAGAUGGAAAGAUAUUGAACUUUUUAGGUACAAGUUAGCCGGUAUAUUACUGUGUUGGAAAACAAAUAUGGCGGCCGAGGCUUCCAAUGUUGAACAAGUCGAAGAUACAGACAAUGAAGAUGAUGUUGUGAUAGUGGGCAGUCGUCAAAGAGAAAGAUGGGACAUGAAAUAAUCUAAAAGCCUGAGGGAGUUGCGGAUCCGAGCGAGGGUCAAGACCUGCAGGACUUCGAGCAAGGCAAGUCAUCACUAUUCUUUGAACAUGUUGAUCCCAAUUGCGAAAUUAUUUUGUUUACAAAUAAGAUUGCAUGCAAUGAUGAACAUCCUACUUGUGAUUAUGCCAUGUCUUGAUUAUUGUUUACCUUUAAAUCCAUGUAACCAUAAUUACGUAUGAGUCCUUAGUCAAUUAUGACACAUCCUUAGAAAUGCUACUCUAGAUUCAUGCACGCUCAUAUUUUAUCAAAUGCUAUAUGCUUGGGAAAUUACCUUUGGGAAGGUAAUUGAGAUGCGGCAUGUGGAGACAUGAGCGCCACAUUGCCAUGAUGAUGAUGACAUGAUUUGUGAAAGUAGGAAUGAAAUUAAACACUUGUUUUAGACUGGGGCAGACGGUGGAUUUGGGUGGUAUCUGGGAAAGGCUAGUACCGUCCC
This is a non-coding RNA of Oryza sativa Japonica Group (Japanese rice), 6070 nucleotides long. NCBI's taxonomy places the organism in Eukaryota, Viridiplantae, Streptophyta, Magnoliopsida, Poales, Poaceae. The record is from RefSeq and is a predicted model, not a curated record.